CGUAGGCAGCGAGCGUUGUUCGGAGUUACUGGGCGUAAAGGGUGCGUAGGCGGCCUAUUAAGUUUGUCGUGAAAUCUCCCGGCUCAACUGGGAGGGUGCGGCGGAUACUGAUGGGCUUGGAGUGCGGGAGAGGAGAGUGGAAUUCCUGGUGUAGCGGUGAAAUGCGUAGAUAUCAGGAGGAACACCGGCGGUGUAGACGGCUCUCUGGACCGUAACUGACGCUGAGGCACGAAAGCGUGGGUAGCAAACAGGAUUAGAUACCCUGGUAGUCCACGCCCUAAACGAUGCGCAUUUGGUGUGGGCAGUUCAUUCUGUCCGUGCCGGAGCUAACGCGUUAAAUGCGCCGCCUGGGGAGUACAGUCGCAAGGCUG
Molecule: ribosomal RNA, 371 nt
Filed under: uncultured organism
Description: bacterial SSU rRNA
Rfam family: Bacterial small subunit ribosomal RNA
Source: RNAcentral